Molecule: ribosomal RNA, 515 nt
Filed under: uncultured bacterium
Lineage: Bacteria
Description: partial 16S ribosomal RNA
Rfam family: Bacterial small subunit ribosomal RNA
Source: RNAcentral
GAUGAACGCUGGCGGCGUGCCUAAUACAUGCAAGUCGAGCGAAUGGAUUAAGAGCUUGCUCUUAUGAAGUUAGCGGCGGACGGGUGAGUAACACGUGGGUAACCUGCCCAUAAGACUGGGAUAACUCCGGGAAACCGGGGCUAAUACCGGAUAACAUUUUGAACCGCAUGGUUCGAAAUUGAAAGGCGGCAUCGGCUGUCACUUAUGGAUGGACCCGGGUCGCAUUAGCUAGUUGGUGAGGUACCGGCUAACCAAGGCAACGAUGCGUAGCCGACCUGAGAGGGUGAUCGGCCACACUGGGACUGAGACACGGCCCAGACUUCUACGGGAGGCAGCAGUAGGGAAUCUUCCGCAAUGGACGAAAGUCUGACGGAGCAACGCCGCGUGAGUGAUGAAGGCUUUCGGGUCGUAAAACUCUGUUGUUAGGGAAGAACAAGUGCUAGUUGAAUAAGCUGGCACCUUGACGGUACCUAACCAGAAAGCCACGGCUAACUACGUGCCAGCCGCCGCGGUAA